Molecule: unclassified non-coding RNA, 367 nt
Filed under: Melitaea cinxia (Glanville fritillary)
Lineage: Eukaryota; Metazoa; Arthropoda; Insecta; Lepidoptera; Nymphalidae
Description: misc RNA ENSMCXG00005002956.1
Source: RNAcentral
GACCAAUCAGCUCAAGGAGUUUCUUCAAGAUAAAUCGUCAAAAGCUCUACGAUCGAAAUGGGGCCAAAAAGUUCGCGAUGCUAAAGGAUUUUAUCAAUUAGAAAUGUCUCCUCCAAAGUUUGAUGAAGUAAAGAAAUUGAAAGAAGACCUUGUCCUCGUCAAAGAUUUCAUUGGAAAUGGCUGUUUUAAAUACAUAACAGUCAAACAAGCCUGGCUUCUUUUCUUAGUUGGCUUGGAAAUCAUCUUGUGGUUUUUCUUAGGAGAAACCAUCGGGAAAAUGCACAUUGUUGGUUAUAAGGUGUAAAGAUUUAUUUUUGUCAAGAUUUAUGCUUAUUAUGUCUUCUAAAUAAACGUAUUUAUAGCAAAA